AAUUUCUUUGCCUAGCCCUACUAUAGGCUGUGUUUUUUCAAUCAAAAUAUUUAAGUUUUGUACAAAUUUUUAUUGGAAUUUUACUUGUCGUUCUCAAAUUUUUAAUUGACCUUCUAGAAAAAUGUCGUGGUGCAGGCUGUGGAACGAUAUAAAAAAUAUUGGGAUCGACUAUAAAGAUUAGUUCGCUGAAAAAAGGAUGUGGAUCUGCUAGAUAAGUUAAUGUUUCAAUGAAUUUGCCACUAAAGGAUUUAUCAAAAGCCCACGAGAUAAUAGACCUCUGAUGACAAAACUAGAUUCGCUUAUAAAGAUACACGAUGAAACAGCUCUAAAGCAGUUUAGUCCAUAAACGAGAUAUGCACAAAAGCGGAUUAUUCUACAUUUGAUUCUAUUGCAUUAAGCUAUACUGCUGACGCUUCGUCAGAUGAAAGAAAUGGAUGUUUUACUAACGAAUAUAACUUUGAAUAUUAUGAAAUCUUAUGGUUCUGCUCCAAGAUCUUAAACAAAGUUAUUCUGCCAAAGAUGACUAAUGCCAUGUUUACGUUACAACUUUUUGUAGGGUUAACCUACUUUGAGAGGAUUUAUUUGAAGUAAAAGUAAUGGAAAUGACAAUUUAAAUCCAAAUCCAGUGGGUUAACCCUCAUAUAUAUAAACGUACUAUAAGAAGCAAGUUAUCAUGAACAAUUGUCACGAAUUAGUUAGCAAGUAAAUGUAAGCUUUUUACAUGUUGUAGACGUCAAGGAGAUUAUAGGGAUCCUCAACUAAAGGUAUCAGGCAGAUAAUAAGACGUUUCCAAUCCAAAUCAUUUCCCCUUCAUUUUUUUAAGAGCGUCAAAGGAAGGAUUUUUCUAGAGCAAA
Musca domestica (house fly) is the source of this 854-nucleotide long non-coding RNA. RefSeq lists it as uncharacterized. The record is from RefSeq and is a predicted model, not a curated record. Lineage: Eukaryota; Metazoa; Arthropoda; Insecta; Diptera; Muscidae. The transcript has 3 exons.